Molecule: ribosomal RNA, 492 nt
Filed under: uncultured bacterium
Lineage: Bacteria
Description: partial 16S ribosomal RNA
Rfam family: Bacterial small subunit ribosomal RNA
Source: RNAcentral
AGUGAACGCUGGCGGUAGGCCUAACACAUGCAAGUCGAACGGCAGCACAGUAAGAGCUUGCUCUUACGGGUGGCGAGUGGCGGACGGGUGAGGAGUACAUCGGAAUCUACUUUUUCGGGGGGGAUAACGUAGGGAAACUUACGCUAAUACCGCAUACGACCUACGGGUGAAAGCAGGGGAUCUUCGGACCUUGCGCGAUUGAAUGAGCCGAUGUCGGAUUAGCUAGUUGGCGGGGUAAAGGCCCACCAAGGCGACGAUCCGUAGCUGGUGUGAGAGGAUGAUCAGCGACACGGGAAGUGAGACACGGUCCAGGAUCCUAAGGGAGGGAGCAGUGGGGAAUAUGGGACAAUGGGGGCAAGCCUGAUCCAGCCAUAGCGCGUGGGUGAAGAAGGCCUUCGGGUUGUAAAGCCCUUUUGUUGGGAAAGAAAAGCAGCAGGUUAAUACCCCGCUGUUCUGACGGUACCCAAAGAAUAAGCACCGGCUAACUUCGUG